GCAAUGUGCCCCGGUACCCCGCUCAAUCUAUGUCGUGACCCACGGUGACAUCUGAUGAGCUGUCAAAACGCACAAAAUUGCGAUGCCCAUUGAAAUAUGACACUCGGCAUAUUAUGUUGUGACCUAUAGUGACGUACUUCUAAUAAACUGUCACAGCGUGACUCACAGCAAGUGAUAUUUUACGGAGGCAACGAGGGCACUGGGCAAUAUGACCCUAGUGACCCCACAAGCAUAAGUCGUGACCCACGGUGACGAUUGUGGUACCCACGGUGGUGAAGAGCUGUCUAAGAGUGUCUCUCAGCAAGUAAUCACAAGGCAGUGUGACCAUAGUGACCCCACAAGCAUAAGUCGUGACCCACGGUGACGAUUGUGGUACCCACGGUGGUGAAGAGCUGUCUAAGAGUGACUCUCAGCAAGUAAUCACAAGGCAGUGUGACCAUAGUGACCCCACAAGCAUAAGUCGUGACCCACGGUGACGAUUGUGGUACCCACGGUGGUGAAGAGCUGUCUAAGAGUGACUCUCAGCAAGUAAUCACAAGGCAGUGUGACCAUAGUGACCCCACAAGCAUAAGUCGUGACCCACGGUGACGAUUGUGGUACCCACGGUGGUGAAGAGCUGUCUAAGAGUGUCUCUCAGCAAGUAAUCACAAGGCAGUGUGACCAUAGUGACCCCACAAGCAUAAGUCGUGACCCACGGUGACGAUUGUGGUACCCACGGUGGUGAAGAGCUGUCUAAGAGUGACUCUCAGCA
Long non-coding RNA from Ostrinia furnacalis (Asian corn borer), 751 nucleotides. RefSeq lists it as uncharacterized. Lineage: Eukaryota; Metazoa; Arthropoda; Insecta; Lepidoptera; Crambidae. The record is from RefSeq and is a predicted model, not a curated record. The transcript is spliced from 2 exons.